This 468-nucleotide ribosomal RNA is filed under the name uncultured bacterium. RNAcentral's name for it is "partial 16S ribosomal RNA". It matches the Rfam family "Bacterial small subunit ribosomal RNA", at positions 28 to 507 of the family's 1533-position model. The record is from RNAcentral.
GACGAACGCUGGCGGCGUGCUUAACACAUGCAAGUCGAACGGAAAGGCCCUGCUUUUGUGGGGUGCUCGAGUGGCGAACGGGUGAGUAACACGUGAGUAACCUGCCCUUGACUUUGGGAUAACUUCAGGAAACUGGGGCUAAUACCGGAUAGGAUCUCCUGCUGCAUGGUGGGGGUUGGAAAGUUUCGGCGGUUGGGGAUGGACUCGCGGCUAAUCAGCUUGUUGGUGGGGUAGUGGCUUACCAAGGCUUUGACGGGUAGCCGGCCUGAGAGCGUGAACGGCCACAUUGGGACUGAGAUACGGCCCAGUCUCCUACGGGAGGCAGCAGUGGGGAAUCUUGCACAAUGGGCCGAAGCCUGAUGAAGCAACGCCGCGUGCGGGAUGACGGCCUUCGGGUUGUAAACCGCUUUCGCCUGUGACGCAGCGUGAGUGACGGUAAUGGGUAAAGAAGCACCGGCUAACUACGUG